ACCCUAACCCUAGCCGCCAGACCCCCUCCCUCCUUCCCCCCGGCCGGAGAAAAAGACCCAGCCGCUGCAAAGAAAAUUGUCACUGCCAGCCACUACGCCGAAGCCACUUCCAAUCACCAAAAGAGGUAAAAAAAAAUUUUCUUUGCUCAAAAUUCAAUUUUAAACACCUCCACGAUCAAAUCAGAGUAAAAGGACUGGCGGAUUGGCCAAAAACUGCGGGCAAAGUCUGGCGGCGCCCCUGCUAAAAAUUGCAAAAACCGCCUUUGAUGAGGCCCUUUUCGAUUCCCUUUUUGCGUAUUUUUCAGCAGAGGUGAUUAUAUCGGACGGGGUAUGAGGGUUUUAAUCUCCGAAAAAAAAAAUUCAGGGAAUCCGGAGAUUGUCAGUAGGUGCAGUCAACAAGUUUAGUUUUUCGGGCAUCAAUUUGAGUAAAAAUCUAUCACUCUGUUCUCUGUUAUAGAAUUGAAGUCAAAUUAACAAUAAUACGGUGUUUUAUACAAUUUAGAAAAUAUCUAUAAUUAAUUACGAGUUACUAAUGGAGACAGAAUUAAAAAUUAUCUACUGUUAUUUCUGUUGAUUGCUUUUAUGAUUUGAAUGCAUGAUAGUAUCUGAUUGAUCGAUUUUAUAGUUUUGAAUCCAUGUAUUGUUUGUUUUAUGUGUUUAUGGUUGAAUUAGAAAAAAUAGAGAUUAAAGAAAAAUAAAAAUUGUGCCCUCGAUUGAACGGAUCAAAUUCACUCAUGCACGCACGCACGGUCUGGAUGUGUUUCCU
This 766-nucleotide long non-coding RNA is filed under the name Carica papaya (papaya). Its description in RNAcentral is "long non-coding RNA (CPAP_LNC000029)". The record is from RNAcentral. Lineage: Eukaryota; Viridiplantae; Streptophyta; Magnoliopsida; Brassicales; Caricaceae.